Molecule: unclassified non-coding RNA, 239 nt
Filed under: uncultured fungus
Lineage: Eukaryota; Fungi
Description: sequence contains ITS1, 5.8S rRNA gene
Rfam family: 5.8S ribosomal RNA (bases 191-239)
Source: RNAcentral
UUUCCGUAGGUGAACCUGCGGAAGGAUCAUUACAGAGAACCUGCCCUUUGGGUAGAUCUCCAACCCUCUGUCUACCGAUAUCGUUGCUUUGGCGGGCCCGCCCUCGGGCGAGCAGCUCCGGCCGCUCAGCGCCCGCCAGAGGACCUCCAACUCUUCUCAACUGUCGUCUGAACACAAACACAAUAGUUAAAACUUUCAACAACGGAUCUCUUGGUUCUGGCAUCGAUGAAGAACGCAGC